CGGAUUGAUUUCUUUAUGUAUGAUAAAUCUUUGCAUAAAGGCAACACCAAUUUCUAUUUGUUGCAGAAACUACACCAGUGUGAGUCCAAGAUAUUCACCUUACAAAAUGAAAUUGACUGCAUGAAGCCCAAACUUGCCGAAAAAUCUCAACUGAAGUCAGAAAUAGAGAGGCUAAUAAAAGAACUUGUGAUAAUGGGUGAACUGAAUCAGCACCAUAAGGAUAUGAUGGAGAAGGCGGCUGUUGAUAAGGGAAAGAAACCUGAAGCUAGCUUGCAGUUUUAUGCUUGUCAAAAAGAGUUAACAGCCUCUAAGCAAAUGGUAAGGAAACAGAAAACUGAAAUAGAAGCCUUGCAUUCAAAGGUUGCAGAACUGGAGAAACACUUAACAAAAAAGGAUGUUGAAAUGAAGGAGUUUAGAAAGUUUUCUGAGAGCUUGAAUGGAAUUUACUUGGCUAAACACAAGGCAUUAGAAGAAAAAUAUACUGCACAGAAAAAAAUCAACCAAACUCUAGAGGCUCGUAUACUUAAUUUACAACUUGCUCUAGAGGAUACAAAACAUGAAAACACGAUGCAGGCAGCAGCCAAGACUAAAACUAGAGCAACAAGUCCAAUUCAAGAGGAAACGUCUAGCGGUUAGGAACCAUCUCACGGCACUCCUACUGGCAACCUAAAAACUUAACAUUAAAGUAUAGUAAUAGCAUAGAAUGCGACCCCUUGGUGCUGAAGUUGUUGAUAGGCUCUUAUUAGGUUGUUGUAUAGAUGUUGUGUUUAAGGUGUCAGUAGGUUGAUAGUGGCAUGUUGGUAAUGUUUUGGUAGGGUAUCAGAAGCUGGUUGUUGGUAGGUCAUCGUUGGGGUGUUGGUGGUUGUGUUUAAGGUGUCAGUAGGUUGAUGGUGGCAUGUUGGUAGGGUAUCAGAAGCUGGUUGUUGGUAGGUGUCAGUAGGUUGAUGGUGGCAUGUUGGUAAGGUGUCCUAAGGGUGUCAUCAGGUUCUUAGUAGGUUGUUGGUAAGGUGUUUUUAGGGUGUCAACAGGUUGUCGGUAGGUGGUCUGUAGGAUAAAGAUAGGAUAUAAUGAUAAGCUAUUGGUCUAUACUUUACAGUAAUUUGGAGUCCAUUUCCUAACUAUUACUAUUGUUUAUUUUAGAUAUAUUUUUAUAUCUAAAGUAAUAUAUAUUCAUGGCUUAAAUUAAAGGGCUUGAUAGAGAUAGAAUACAGUAAAUAAGACAAAGUUGAAACCAUACUCAUUGAAAAUUUUAACUGACUUCAAAAAAACCUUUUUUUGCAAUAUCUUGAUAAGUAUUUUUGAAUUAUUGUUCAUGAAUUUAAAUCUCAUUGNAAUUCUAUUGCCCUUACAAGUUUGGAAAAACUGGCAAAAUAAGUUCAUGGUAUGCUGAUCAAAUUUGAGAGGGUUUAAAAGAAANUAAAAUNAAAUUGCUUCUAAUCUUU
Molecule: unclassified non-coding RNA, 1442 nt
Filed under: Actinia tenebrosa (Australian red waratah sea anemone)
Lineage: Eukaryota; Metazoa; Cnidaria; Anthozoa; Actiniaria; Actiniidae
Description: hamartin-like, transcript variant X1
Source: RNAcentral